UUUUUACUCCUUCCAUCCGAAUUUACUUGUCGCAUAAAUUGAUAAAAAUAAAUGUAUCUAGAACUAAAAUACAUCUAGAUACAUCCAUUUAUAUGACAAGUAUUUACGGACGGAGUGAGUAUUUA
Non-coding RNA from Hordeum vulgare subsp. vulgare (domesticated barley), 125 nucleotides. NCBI's taxonomy places the organism in Eukaryota, Viridiplantae, Streptophyta, Magnoliopsida, Poales, Poaceae. The record is from Rfam.